This is a non-coding RNA of Physcomitrium patens, 1167 nucleotides long. The record is from RefSeq and is a predicted model, not a curated record. NCBI's taxonomy places the organism in Eukaryota, Viridiplantae, Streptophyta, Bryopsida, Funariales, Funariaceae.
AGAAGGCGAUGCACAGACGCAAUCUCGCCUUCAGCACCAUAUCUAUCCUCUCAUGUUCCGUUGUACGUUGCAUGUGGGUUCUUUUCUGAAGCUUUCGUUCUAACUAUCCUGACCAGGUUCUUCUAGUGGUUGUGCUGCAUCGCUAACUGGCAAGUUUUUCAAUCCCCGAAGUUUGGGUAUGUUGGGCGUCCAGGAUGUGGGGAGGGAACCCGGAUCCUCAUUUUCAAGGAGGGGCACUGCCUGGACCGGUUGGCGACGGGCGGUAUUCUGCGCGCAGCGGUUGACCAGCAGGCGUCCUUAGGCGUACAUGCCAAGGCAGUCAUGGACCAUAUACUCAUAGGCUCCAAUUUCGUGGCAUGGAAAGUGGAUGAAAGUGGUAUAGGGUAGAAGCGGGUUCUGGGUUUGCAGCAUGUAUUGAUAUAGAUGGAGGCGUUUGUUGGCAAGGCGCAUUGGUGCUCGAUGACUUAGAGUGGCCGAUCUUAUAUGACUCCGAGUUCGCACCCUCGAAGGUGGCUGGCCGCAGUGGGACACAGGUGCCAGUCUCUUCCACGUGGCCAUGCAAACAUCUAGGGUCAGAGCAUAUUUUUAGGUUUGAAUUUGUGGCCAGCAGAUCACUGGAGUGCAUUUGAUUCAACGCAAAGAUGACACCAUGGAAGUAUGGAAGAAGUUUCUGCCGUCGUUCCACGAACAGUCCACACCUGUGAUUGAGUACUACACUCAAAAGGGCAUUGUAAGGAACAUUGAAGCUGCGAAGUCAGCUACAACAUUCGUCAGUCAGGAGAUCCAGAAAGCCAGAAGUCUGAAUGCUGUACAGCUAAUUUACUACUUCGCCUGCUCGAGCCAGCUUAAGUAAAAUUUUGGCUGUUUGAACUGCUUUUGAAGCGGAGGUUGCACACUUCUCCCCUUCUCCCCUUCUCCAUCUGCCCAUGCAUCUAAUUUGGCAACGUGAUUCUCUAGUCCAUCUAUUUUUGAAACUGUGAUGAAAAAACAAUGGAAUCAAUUUUCUACUCCUCGAGCCACUGGGGAACUAGGACGGUCAGUAGGAUAUAUACACAAGCUCUCAAGCAGGUUCAUAUGAAAGAUUCUUUUUAUUCAGCUCCGAUGUAACAUUCCAACACAGUCGCAUCAUGUGAUUGAGACUGAAAAAAGAAGCCCUAGUUUUUUACA